CCAACCACACCCACGGAGGGGGGAAAAACAAGAAUAUGCACUAGUCAUAACAAGGAUAAUGCUAAGGUUUAUUUGCAAUAAAGCUAGGUUUUUAACACAUGCAAGGGUUCACUUUCAAAAAGGGUUUUCACGAAGCAUUUAUUUAGUAACCGAGUAAUUGAGUGGGGGUUAAUCCUACAUGAAGGAUCCAAAUUUUAAUGCUACCGGACUCCCCAUCCGCGGUAGCUCACGGCACAACUGCCGGAC
RNAcentral lists this long non-coding RNA (246 nucleotides) under Setaria italica (foxtail millet). Its description in RNAcentral is "long non-coding RNA (SITA_LNC007524)". Lineage: Eukaryota; Viridiplantae; Streptophyta; Magnoliopsida; Poales; Poaceae. The record is from RNAcentral.